ACUAUCAAGUCAUAAGUCAUAUACACAGAGAUUCUGACAGCAAGGUGCCAGUCAACAUAGCUUGUUGAGACAAGCCUUCAAAUAAUAAACCUAUGUUCAACAAUACUGAAACAAAUGAUCACACAUCAAGUAAUAACACUUUUUGUGCAGAGAGCAGCAAGUGACUAAUCGGGCACAAGAGUGUCCAAGCACAGCAAAUGGGGAAAGCACACAGCCUCUUGCUCUGUUUUGUUUUGGAAAGGCCAAUGAUCAAAGCUAUUUCUAGAAGGAAUCUGGCAGUUCUUUCACUGUGUGACAGAAUCAUUAAAACAGCACGUUGAAGGACUGGAAAAUAAACCACGUCCAGACAAUGGUUUUAAGGUCGUCUUUAAUCCUGGACAAAUGGGAAAACAAGAAAGGCAAGCUCCUUGAGGGCAGCAAGCCUGAUUCAUUUUCGUCUUGCUUUCUGAGUUUAGUGCAGAGUGUUCUCCAAAUGAUUGUCAGGGACAAUGACAGGUUGGAGCUGCUCCUCUUCAAGGCAGCAGCCAAGAGGAAAAGCUGCCACUCGACUCUCCUGUUGCCGAAGUAGGCUUUGAAGAAUACAUAUGCUGUGGAAUGCCACAUAAUGGCUAAUUAACAUAUACAUUGCCUUACAUAGUUAUUUUUGUGAAGAGAACACUUCAAUUCCCAUCAUUAGCAUUUUCAAUAAUUCAAUACAUUGUUUAUUUACUACGUGGAACAAAGCAU
This is a long non-coding RNA of Ochotona princeps (American pika), 726 nucleotides long. RefSeq lists it as uncharacterized. The record is from RefSeq and is a predicted model, not a curated record. NCBI's taxonomy places the organism in Eukaryota, Metazoa, Chordata, Mammalia, Lagomorpha, Ochotonidae. The transcript has 3 exons.